Molecule: ribosomal RNA, 637 nt
Filed under: uncultured bacterium
Lineage: Bacteria
Description: bacterial SSU rRNA
Rfam family: Bacterial small subunit ribosomal RNA
Source: RNAcentral
GCUCAACCGGGGAAGUGCUUCGAAAACUGGUAAACUUGAGUGCAGAAGAGGAAAGUGGAACUCCAUGUGUAGCGGUGGAAUGCGUAGAUAUAUGGAAGAACACCAGUGGCGAAGGCGGCUUUCUGGUCUGUAACUGACGCUGAGAUUCGAAAGCAUGGGUAGCAAACAGGAUUAGAUACCCUGGUAGUCCAUGCCGUAAACGAUGAGUGCUAAGUGUUGGAGGGUUUCCGCUCUUCAGUGCUGCAGCUAACGCAUUAAGCACUCCGCCUGGGGAGUACGAUCGCAAGAUUGAAACUCAAAGGAAUUGACGGGGGCCCGCACAAGCGGUGGAGCAUGUGGUUUAAUUCGAAGCAACGCGAAGAACCUUACCAGGUCUUGACAUACCAUGAAAAGCUAAGAGAUUAGUCUUUCCCUUCGGGGACAUGGAUACAGGUGGUGCAUGGUUGUCGUCAGCUCGUGUCGUGAGAUGUUGGGUUAAGUCCCGCAACGAGCGCAACCCUUAUUAUCAGUUGCCAGCAUUCAGUUGGGCACUCUGGUGAGACUGCCGGUGACAAACCGGAGGAAGGUGGGGACGACGUCAAAUCAUCAUGCCCCUUAUGACCUGGGCUACACACGUGCUACAAUGGUCGGUACAACG